Molecule: long non-coding RNA, 641 nt
Organism: Bombus impatiens (common eastern bumble bee)
Lineage: Eukaryota; Metazoa; Arthropoda; Insecta; Hymenoptera; Apidae
Exons: 2
Source: RefSeq, a predicted model, not a curated record
AUCUGUAACCUUGAAUUUGAUUUGCCAAUAAUGGAACAUAGUUGAGCGUUAAUAGUUCGAUAACAUAUCGAAGAUUAUUUUAUAUUUUUAACGAAACGUAAUUUAUAUUUAUAGUUGGAAAUUGUUAUUGUUGUUAAUGUUACUGAUAUAUAAAUUGUCAGAAAUAAAUAUUUAUACCCUGAAAAAUAAUCGUGAUUUAUUUAAAAAAUUUUGUUUCAAGUGCGUGAAAUUAAUUACUGAUAAUCUUUUGAACUUCGUGCAUGCUUCUCUCCAAUGAAGUUUGAAGAAGUUUAUAUCUCAAGAAAGAAACAGAACGGUAUCAGUGAAUCACAUUCUGAACAAUCAUAAACAAAAUCCUGAACUCGAAUCUAUGUGAAAGCAAGAAAAACAAUUAUUAGAUACAAUAAUUUGUGAGUAAAUUAAAAAAAAUUAUAGUUUAAUCAUAUAAUUUUAUUGCGAAUAAAGGAUUAUGAAAUGUAGAGUUAUAUGUGUAUUUACUAUUUCAGAUACAAGAAAAAGUUUCAUAUUCCUUUUGUAAUACAUAUGCAAGAAAAUAAAGUGUAAACAAUUCUUACAUCAAUUCAAACGCGUUUGCAAGAUACGAAAGAUAACGAAUUACGUGUUGGAAUUCAAGAAGUUAA